Molecule: long non-coding RNA, 669 nt
Organism: Oryza brachyantha (malo sina)
Lineage: Eukaryota; Viridiplantae; Streptophyta; Magnoliopsida; Poales; Poaceae
Exons: 4
Source: RefSeq, a predicted model, not a curated record
UCUUAAUUAAUAAGCUAAUCCGGUGUUGAGCGCGACAGCUGAUAAAGCUAAACAUGUGCUAGUUUAUAUUUAUAUAUGUGCAUGCAGGAACAGGAAAUCACGGAUCGAUCGAUGGCCAGAUAAUUAAGAAGAAGAAACGGACCUUCGACCACGAGCACUUUGAAGAUCACCUCCCCGUCCCGUCUCCGGUGGGCGUAAACGUGCGGGGUGCUGAAUAUAUAGCCGAUGCGUGGAAAUCCAGCGAUCCGGGGCCGGGCGCGGCGCGGCGUGGCUGCCGGGCGCAUGGGACGAAGAAAAUCUAUCAAGAUUCAAGGAGAAGAGCUAUGGUAGCAGUGGUGCAACAUCGGGGCUGACUUCUAGUUUGGCAUUUACACCAGUUCAGGUAAUAGAGUUGUCAAAUCCACAGCCCCACGGGAAUCUGUUUGGAUGUGGAACUCAGAGCACCUAUUUUUCAGAGACCGGUACGUUCUCGAAGAUCAAAAGGACCUGAGCAAAGAAGCUAGUUUGUUCGUCGUCGUCCCAGAUGCCCACACCUGUGAUGCCCACACUAUUUAGGAUUCACCGUGCAUAGGAUGAAUCCACUUUGUAAUAUUCUCCACCUUAUGGACGAAGUGGCACAUAUCUGUUCGCAAUCUUCAGGGUUCCGCUACUUUCAGUGUUGAAAUUCAA